Molecule: ribosomal RNA, 387 nt
Filed under: uncultured bacterium
Lineage: Bacteria
Description: bacterial SSU rRNA
Rfam family: Bacterial small subunit ribosomal RNA
Source: RNAcentral
AACAAACGCUGGCGGCGUGUCUUAAGCAUGCAAGUUGAGCGGCAAGGAGGAGCAAUCCCCCCUAGAGCGGCGGACUGGUGAGUAACACGUGGAUGAUCUACCCGAGGCAUGGGGAUAGUCACUAGAAAUAGUGGGUAAUACCGAAUACGGUGCGCAUCGUGAGGGUGCGCAAGAAAGGUGCUACGGCACCGGCCUAGGAUGAGUCUGCGUCCCAUUAGCUGGUUGGUGAGGUAAGAGCCCACCAAGGCGAUGAUGGGUAGCCGACCUGAGAGGGUGGCCGGCCACACUGGAACUGAGAUACGGUCCAGACUCCUACGGGAGGCAGCAGUGGGGAAUAUUGGGCAAUGGGCGCAAGCCUGACCCAGCGACGCCGCGUGGGGGAAGAAG